Molecule: transfer RNA, 59 nt
Filed under: Moniezia benedeni
Lineage: Eukaryota; Metazoa; Platyhelminthes; Cestoda; Cyclophyllidea; Anoplocephalidae
Description: tRNA-Ser
Source: RNAcentral
GAGGAAUUGGGUAUAGUUACUGCUAAUAACUUUGUAUCAAUUAAGUUUGAUAUUCCUCU